GAUGAAGAACGUAGCGAAAUGCGAUACUUGGUGUGAAUUGCUGAAUCCCGUGAACCAUCAAGUUUUUGAACGCAAGUUGCGCCCGAAGCCAUUAGGCCGAGGGCACGCCUGCCUGGGUGUCACACAUUGUUGCCCCAAUGCCAAUCGCCUCACUUUGUAGGUAUUUGCUUGGGGUGAAUGUUGGCCUCCCGUGAGCUCUGUCUCACGGUUGGUUGAAAAUCGAGUGCAUGGUGUCGGGUGUACCAUGAUGGAUGGUGGUUGAGUGAUGCUCGAGGCCAAUCAUGGGUAACUCCACCAGAAUUGUGCUCGGUGACCCACAUCAAGUCAGGCGGGGCUACCCGCUGAGUUUAAGCAUAUCAUAAGCGGAGGA
RNAcentral lists this unclassified non-coding RNA (370 nucleotides) under soil metagenome. RNAcentral's name for it is "partial contains 5.8S ribosomal RNA, internal transcribed spacer 2, and large subunit ribosomal RNA". The stretch from base 1 to 122 matches the Rfam family "5.8S ribosomal RNA", at positions 35 to 154 of the family's 154-position model. The record is from RNAcentral.